GCCACCAUGGUGUAGCGGUUUGAGUGCUAGACUAGGACACUGGGAGUCCAGGGUUCAAAACCCUGGUUGAUGUCA
Non-coding RNA from Phrynosoma platyrhinos (Desert horned lizard), 75 nucleotides. Lineage: Eukaryota; Metazoa; Chordata; Lepidosauria; Squamata; Phrynosomatidae. The record is from the annotation of a GenBank genome assembly.